Long non-coding RNA from Lutra lutra (Eurasian river otter), 2462 nucleotides. RefSeq lists it as uncharacterized. The record is from RefSeq and is a predicted model, not a curated record. NCBI's taxonomy places the organism in Eukaryota, Metazoa, Chordata, Mammalia, Carnivora, Mustelidae. The transcript has 6 exons.
GCAACUUACCGUGGUUCCCUGAACCUCAAGUUCCUCAUCGGUGGAACAGGCUUCAUCACGUACAACCUCCUGGGUUGCUGUGGGAGUUCAGUGAGAUCACCAAUACAUGCAAAGCACUUACGGAGGCCAGCCUGGCACACAAGUGCUCAAGAGCCACCGAGACUCUCGGUGGGAAGUGAGGCAUCAACACUAUUUUUAUAAUAACCCUCACUGCUUCGGAGCAGCCUCCCAGCAGGGGGUUAUGAACUGGCUCCUGUCAAGGGCGGCUUGAUUGAGCACCUACUGGGUGCCCGCUGCUGUGCCACAGUGUUGGAGAAAGGAGCAACAAGACUCAGUUCUCCUUCUCAAUGGAGACAGACAAGCAAACAGACGUGCGUCACGCGACUCGCUGAAGUGUCUGAGUGUACCAGCCAAGUGGCUCUGGAACCAGCCUGCUUGGGUUUGCAUUUCGCCCGGAACGACAGGAGUCUAGUCCCUGAGCUGGAGCGGAGGUAGCCAAGCCUGGAGGAAGCUGAUGCUGCGCGAACACCUGGCCGGGCACUAGGGCUCCGUGGCUGUCUUUGCCUGUGUCUCUCCUGGGACAGCGUGGAAUCAAGCACCUGUAGGUCCGGCCAAAGUGGUCAUUUGCAUGAAAUUGGAGCAGGUCCUGAAGCCCGAGGGGCCAGAGCUUCGCAAGGAAGAGUGGCGGCCACGUGGUCCUCUCAGGUAGCGAGAUGUGGAAUCACGGCUGCAGUGGGUUCCUGGUCUGAGGCACAGAGCCGACAGCAAGGGCACCAGAUGGUCCAGACCAAGCUGUCGGAGGGGCUGGCCAUAUAGGCUCAGACCCCUGCCUGGCAGACGGAGAACCCUCAGCUGGACACCAUCCCCCUCUGCCUGGGUGGAAGCAAGAAAACUCCAGGAACCCCCUGAACCCCAGAAAGAGGGAGGACCAGGACCAGAAGGCAUUGGAACAGGUGAAAGCAACGAUCUCACAUCUCUGAGAGGAUUUUCCACUCGCAUCUGACUUUCUACUACAAUUUGGUUUCCUGUGGUGGUUACAGAGGCUGCCAAGCCGGCAGGCUUUGUUACUCCCGGGCGUAGAGAAGGGCCUACAGAGAAAACCGAGCCUCUCCUCGCACCCUCGACCCUGCGUAGAGAGAGAAACCAGGGUGGUGAAGAGCAGACUGCCUGGUUUUGAGUCCUGGCUUCCCCAUUUCCUGGCAUCUAGCAGUGACACCCUGGACAAAGUGUCCGUCUCCCUCACUGGGUUUGAAGGAAGAUCGGAGUCUUCCCCAUUGCUGCACACUCAGCAUCCAGCCCAGACCGGGUGGAGGACAGGAUGGGGGGAGAUGAAUGAACGGCUGAAGGGAAGAAUGAAGGCAUCGAGAGAGGGAUGUUGGAGGAGUGGACAGGUGGAUGGAGUGUGGAUGGCCGGUUGGAUGGCGUGAUGAUUCCAUAGGCAGAUGGACAGUGGAUGGCCGUGAACAGGUGGGUGUAUGCUCAGCUACUAAUCAUGAUUUUUAGUACCGCACACACCUCUGGAGCCACCAGACACACACUCUGGACUUGCCAGGGACACCCCCCUCCCCUUGCUUCCAGCCUUUAUUCUGGUUUCUCCUCCAAAGCCUGGAUGUGGGUCUAAGAAUCCUCCCAGGUCUCUGCACAUGGGAGCCUGGGUAAGCUGCCCAUCAGAAGGCCUCACCCUUAUCAUCCCAUCUAAAUUUCCCUGUAUGAGGGUGAAAAUGACCGUGACCAAUUCACUGUGAACUCCAAGUACCCCACUAGGCUCGGGAGUGGGUGUUUCUGGACAAUCCAGUGUUUCCACUGGGAUGUGGAGGCCAAGAUGCCAAGGUGAUCUGCCGGCUGCUGUCCAGCGCCCCUAGUCCAUUACCACUGCAGACCUCCCCUCCGGCACAGCCCAGGCCUUCCACCCAAUCACAGCUCCCCCAAAAGAGAAUUGUACAACUUAUGAGGAGUCCCUGGUUCUCUUCAGCCACCCUAUCCUCAGGGACAGGUCAGAGCCCAGUUUGGAGGCCUGUUACCUUCCCCCAAUCUGUCCCAUAGAAUCAACUGAUGUAGAAACAUUACAGGAUUUGGGGUCAGAGGACGUCAGUUGAAGUUUUGUCUUCUCAGCCCUUGUCAGCUACUUCACUCUAGGGAGCGGGGAUUGGCCCAGAGGCAGAACAGAGCAGCAGGAAGAGACAGGCCUUGGAACCACCAGAGAUGUAGGUUCAAGUCAUGUCCCACAGGGAGUGUGACCCCACUCUGAGUCUGCUUCCUCAUCUGUAAAGUGGGAGAAACAGCACCAUGAGGCUGGCAGAUCUGUUGUGAGGUUCCGCAGACCCUGACCCACGCUGCUCAAUGAGAUGCCUUUCAAGACCAGUGCGGCUGCUGAGCACCGGAAACGGGGUCCGGCUCAAUGGAGACGUGGCACAGGUGUAAAAUCAUCAUUGGAUUUUGAAGACCUGGAAAAAAUGCAACCC